GCAAGUAUGGUUUAAUGGUAAAACAUUAGUCUUCCAAACUAAAAAAGCGGGUUCAACUCCCGUUACUUGCUUA
RNAcentral lists this transfer RNA (73 nucleotides) under Nephromyces sp. ex Molgula occidentalis. RNAcentral's name for it is "tRNA-Gly". It matches the Rfam family "tRNA". Rfam says of the family: Transfer RNA (tRNA) molecules are approximately 80 nucleotides in length. Their secondary structure includes four short double-helical elements and three loops (D, anti-codon, and T loops). Lineage: Eukaryota; Apicomplexa; Aconoidasida; Nephromycida. The record is from RNAcentral.